This 1075-nucleotide ribosomal RNA is filed under the name uncultured crenarchaeote. Its description in RNAcentral is "bacterial SSU rRNA". It matches the Rfam family "Archaeal small subunit ribosomal RNA", at positions 321 to 1407 of the family's 1478-position model. Lineage: Archaea; Thermoproteati; Thermoproteota. The record is from RNAcentral.
CCCUACGGGGCGCAGCAGUCGCGAAAACUUUGCAAUACACGAAAGUGUGACAAGGCUAUCCCGAGUGCCAUCCGCUGAGAAGGCUUUUACCCAGUAUAAAUAGCUGGGAGAAUAAGGAGAGGGCAAGUCUGGUGUCAGCCGCCGCGGUAAUACCAGCUCUCCGAGUAGUGUGGAUGUUUAUUGGGCAUAAAGCAUCCGUAGCUUGCUAAAUAAGUCCCUGUUAAAUCCACCGAUUCAAUCGUUGGAUUGCGGGGGAUACUGUUUGGCUAGGGGACGGGAGAGGCCGACGGUAUUUCCGGGGUAGGGGUGAAAUCCUAUAAUCCCGGGAGGACCACCAGUGGCGAAGGCUGUCGGCUAGAACGCGCCCGACGGUGAGGGAUGAAAGCUGGGGGAGCGAACCGGAUUAGAUACCCGGGUAGUCCCAGCUGUAAACGAUGCAGGCUAGGUGUUUGGGCGGCUACGAGCCGCUCUAGUGCCGCAGGGAAGCUGUUAAGCCUGCCGCCUGGGGAGUACGGCCGCAAGGCUGAAACUUAAAGGAAUUGGCGGGGGAGCACCACAAGGGGUGAAGCUUGCGGUUUAAUUGGAGUCAACGCCGGAAAUCUCACCGGGAGCGACAGCAGUAUGAAGGCCAGAUUAAAGGUCUUGCUAGACGAGCUGAGAGGAGGUGCAUGGCCGUCGCCAGUUCGUGCCGUGAGGUGUCCUGUUAAGUCAGGCAACGAUCGAGACCCGCGUUCUCUGUUGCUACUGGCUUUGAGCCAGGCACACUGAGGAGACCGCCGCUGAUAAAGCGGAGGAAGGAGCGGGCCACGGCAGGUCAGUAUGCCCCGAAUCUCCCGGGCCACACGCGAGCUGCAAUGGCAGGUACAAUGGGUUCCGACCUCGUAAGGGGAAGGCAAUCUCGAAAGCCUGCCGUAGUUGGGAUCGAGGGUUGUAACUCAUCCUCGUGAACAUGGAAUCCCUAGUAAUCGCGUGUCACUAGCGCGCGGUGAAUACGUCCCUGCUCCUUGCACACACCGCCCGUCGUUCCACCCGAGUGACUCUUGGGUGAGGCGUGGUCUUACUUGGCUGCGUCGAA